RNAcentral lists this ribosomal RNA (206 nucleotides) under uncultured bacterium. RNAcentral describes it as "partial 16S ribosomal RNA". It matches the Rfam family "Bacterial small subunit ribosomal RNA", at positions 568 to 773 of the family's 1533-position model. The record is from RNAcentral.
UGCGUAGGCGGUGCAGAAAGUCGGGUGUGAAAUCCCCCAGCUCAACUGAGGAAUUGCGCCCGAAACUACUGUGCUUGAGGAAGAUAGAGGUACGCGGAACUUAGGGUGGAGCGGUGAAAUGCGUUGAUAUCCUAAGGAACACCGGUGGCGAAAGCGGCGUACCGGGUCUUAUCUGACGCUGAGGCACGAAAGCUAGGGUAGCAACG